Long non-coding RNA from Copidosoma floridanum, 255 nucleotides. The record is from RefSeq and is a predicted model, not a curated record. NCBI's taxonomy places the organism in Eukaryota, Metazoa, Arthropoda, Insecta, Hymenoptera, Encyrtidae.
UUCUAGGAAUGCUACCAGAGUGUCAAGACAAUUGGAUCUGAUACCCAGCAAAGAUUAUUGCCCUCUAUUUGUUGGCGAUAAGAGGGUCCAGCAGACGGAGUUUGACUACACGGAAUUAAACAAGGACACUAUUAAGGUCAUUGGAUCCUGAACCAUGCAGAACGAUUUUUAUCUUACAUGGAAAAUGAUAUCACAAAACGAUUGUUCAUUUUAAACUCUUAUUGGCUGCUCUGGACUUUAAAGUAUAUAUAGAAU